UGGAAUUAUUUUUCUCAGAGGAGACUGUUUACUCUGUAUUUCUUAGAUUUUUAAAAAAAUGGAACAGUUUUUUAAUAUCAAAAGAUUUAAGUUUUCAUGUUAGUGGUUAAUAGCCCAGAUUGUAGCUGCUCUAUUUAUUAACCAGAUAUCACCAAGUUUUAGUGUGUUAAUUGGCCUGUUUUCCUGGGGCUUAAGAGCACAGUAAACUGGCAUUCUAUAAUUUGACUGUACGUUUGUUUUUGUCUAAAAAUUCAAUUUGUUUUUCUAGGUGGCAACUAUGGCGGUGGUCCUGGUUAUAGUAGUAGAGGAGGUUACGGUGGUGGUGGACCAGGAGGAUAUGGAAACCAAGGUGAUGGUGGAUAUAAUGGAUUUGGAGGUGAUGGUGGCAACUAUGGUGAUGGUCCUGGUUAUAGUAGUAGAGGAGGUUAUGGUGGUGGUGGACCAGGAUAUGGAAACCAAGGUGGUGGAUGUGGUGGCGGUGGUGGAAGAUAUGGUUACAAUGAAGGAGGAAAUUUUGGAGGUAACUAUGGUGGUGGUGGAAACUAUAAUGAUUUUGGAAAUNNNNNNNNNNNNNNNNNNNNNNNNNNNNNNNNNNNNNUUAAAACAUGAAAUUUCACAUUUUAUAAUAGAAAAUACUCAAAUAGUGGAGAGUUAAACUGAAUUUUUUUACACUGUUGCGAUUUAGUAAAUUUGCAAAACGUAUUCACAUGUUCUGCAUAUUGAAAUAGGACAUUUAACAGUAAUGUUUGUUGCCUGGAUUUUUACUUUAGGCACUUUUAAGCUGGACAGAUGGUAACUAUAAAUUGAAUAUGCAGACAUGUUGAAUAGGUGUUAUCAGGAUUUAGGUGAUUAAAAAUAUGUCAGUGGUGUUUCAGACUCAUUACUCCAUACUCCAUGAUACUUUAAAGAACAUUAUUAUGAGUGUAUUCAAUUUUGAAUUGUAUUGCUGUAUCAACAGGUUUUUCCUAAUAGUCAAUUUGAAAUGCUUUUUAUUAGUGACUUAGAAGUUAUACUGUUUCAGCUACAGUGAAUCUAUCAGAUUUUAUGGUGUUUAGUGUUGUGAAGAGAAUGUUCCAGAGUGUAGCAUUUAAUAUGAAGACUGGUAGCUGUCUAGUCUCUUGAGCCAAUUUUCACUCUCUCUUCCUCUCCUGUGUAUGUCUGAGAUCUUUCUGGUGGAAAGAGUUUGAUAGUUCUGUGAAAUCUUAAAGGAUUGUGUGUGUCAGGAUGGUGCCGUGAUUCUCAAAAGAUAAUGCAAUGCAUGUAUGUAUUAAAAACUUCUGUAGGUCAGCUACAAAUAAAAUCUUUGCAAUUUCAGGUAACUAUGGUGGUGGUGGAAACUAUAAUGAUUUUGGAAAUUAUAGUG
RNAcentral lists this long non-coding RNA (1363 nucleotides) under Capra hircus (goat). RNAcentral describes it as "lncRNA (ENSCHIG00010005311.1)". The record is from RNAcentral. Lineage: Eukaryota; Metazoa; Chordata; Mammalia; Artiodactyla; Bovidae.